RNAcentral lists this ribosomal RNA (211 nucleotides) under uncultured prokaryote. RNAcentral describes it as "partial 16S ribosomal RNA". It matches the Rfam family "Bacterial small subunit ribosomal RNA", at positions 524 to 734 of the family's 1533-position model. The record is from RNAcentral.
UACGUAGGGGGCGAGCGUUGUCCGAAGUUACUGGGCGUAAAGAGCGCGUAGGCGGGCUUUUAAGUGAGAGGUGAAAGGUUCGGGCUCAACCCGGAGAGUGCCUUUCAUACUGGAAGCCUUGAGUGCGGGAGAGGCAAGUGGAAUGGUCGGUGUAGCGGUGAAAUGCGUAGAUAUCGAGAGGAACACCUGCGGCGAAGGCGGGUUGCUGGGC